GAAAUGCGAAAGGUAAUGCGAAUUGCAGAAUCAGUGAGUCAUCGAAUCUUUGAACGCACAUUGCGCCUCUCGGUAUUCCGGGAGGCACGCCUGUUCGAGCGCCAUUACAAACCCCAAGCUGUGCUUGAUGUUGGGCGAUGUUUUCGUAAAGGAGACACGCCUGGAACGCGUUGACGCCGCCGGCGGACCACGAGCGUAGCAGGACGAAAGUCGAUCGCAUCUGUGGGAUCCGUCGGACGGUCUUGUCUUUUGACAGUUUUGUCACCACAAUCAAGAGUUUGGCCUCGGAUCAGGCGGGGAUACCCGCUGAACUUAA
Molecule: unclassified non-coding RNA, 316 nt
Filed under: uncultured Ochroconis
Lineage: Eukaryota; Fungi; Ascomycota
Description: sequence contains ITS1
Rfam family: 5.8S ribosomal RNA (bases 1-104)
Source: RNAcentral